This 414-nucleotide long non-coding RNA is filed under the name Numida meleagris (helmeted guineafowl). Its description in RNAcentral is "lncRNA (ENSNMEG00000001278.1)". Lineage: Eukaryota; Metazoa; Chordata; Aves; Galliformes; Numididae. The record is from RNAcentral.
UCCAUGCCAUUGUCCCCAAGACCUUGAGGACCCCAUGGAGAUGCCUCCAAAGUCCCAAGAACCCCAUGGCAACGUCCCCAAGACCCCAAGGACCCCAUGGCAACGUCCCCAAGGUCCAUGCCAUUGUCCCCAACACCUUGAGGACCCCAUGGAGAUGUCCCCUAGACCCCAAGGACCCCAUGGUGGUGUCCCCAAGACCCCACAGACCCCAGGGUGAUGUCCCCAAGGUCCAUGGCAUUGUUGUCCCCAAGGACCCCAUAGAAGUGUCCCCAAGGGCCAUGUUGGUGGCCCCAAGACCCUAAGGACCCCAUAGAGAUGUCCCCAGGGACCAUGGCGGUGUCCCCAAGACCCUGAAGACCCCAUGGAGGUGUCCCCAAGGUCCAAGAUGAUGUCCCCAAGGUCCAUGCCAUUGUC